RNAcentral lists this ribosomal RNA (1104 nucleotides) under fungal endophyte. Its description in RNAcentral is "eukaryotic LSU rRNA". The stretch from base 519 to 1104 matches the Rfam family "Eukaryotic large subunit ribosomal RNA", at positions 1 to 596 of the family's 3401-position model. The record is from RNAcentral. Lineage: Eukaryota; Fungi.
AAACUCCCAACCCUUUGUGAACCUUACCACUGUUGCCUCGGCGUCAGCUGCGGCUACCCUGGAGUGCUACCAUGGCACCCACCUACCUGGUAGGUGCUACCCGGUAGUCACCCUGUAGUCCGCGUAUAGCGCGCCGGUGGACCAAUAAAUUCUGUUUUUACCUGAGAAUCUCUGAAUGCUUCAACUAAAUUAGUUAAAACUUUCAACAACGGAUCUCUUGGUUCUGGCAUCGAUGAAGAACGCAGCGAAAUGCGAUAAGUAAUGUGAAUUGCAGAAUUCAGUGAAUCAUCGAAUCUUUGAACGCACAUUGCGCCCAUUAGUAUUCUAGUGGGCAUGCCUAUUCGAGCGUCAUUUCAACCCUUAAGCCCUAGUUGCUUAGCGUUGGGACUCUGAGCCUUUACGGCCCAGUUCCUUAAAGUUAGUGGCGGAGUUAUAGCACACUCUCAGCGUAGUAAUUUCUAUCUCGCUUUUGUGGUGGCUGUGGCGACUUGCCGUAAAACCCCUAAUUAUCUAGUGGUUGACCUCGGAUUAGGUAGGAAUACCCGCUGAACUUAAGCAUAUCAAUAAGCGGAGGAAAAGAAACCAACAGGGAUUGCCCUAGUAACGGCGAGUGAAGCGGCAACAGCUCAAAUUUGAAAUCUGGCCCUUGCGGUCCGAAUUGUAAUUUGUAGAGGAUGCUUUUGGUGCGGUGCCUUCUGAGUUCCCUGGAACGGGACGCCAGAGAGGGUGAGAGCCCCGUACGGUUGGACACCUAGCCUAUAUAUAGCUCCUUCGACGAGUCGAGUAGUUUGGGAAUGCUGCUCUAAAUGGGAGGUAAAUUUCUUCUAAAGCUAAAUACCGGCCAGAGACCGAUAGCGCACAAGUAGAGUGAUCGAAAGAUGAAAAGCACUUUGAAAAGAGGGUUAAAUAGCACGUGAAAUUGUUGAAAGGGAAGCGUUUGCGACCAGACUUUUUCCAGGCGGAUCAUCCGGUGUUCUCACCGGUGCACUUCGUCUGGUUUAGGCCAGCAUCGGUUUUCUUAGGGGGAUAAAGGCUUGGGGAACGUAGCUCUUUCGGGAGUGUUAUAGCCCCUUGCGUAAUACCCCUCGGGGGACCGAGGAACGC